CCCUUAGAUGUUCUGGGCUGCACGCGUGCUACAAUGGCGCUUGCAACAAGUCUUGCCAACCCGAUAGGGUGAGCGGAUCUUUGAAGAGGCGUCGUGAUCGGGACAGUUGAUUGCAAUUAUUCGACUCGAACGAGGAAUUCCUUGUAAUCGCGAUUCAUCAUAUCGCGCUGAAUACGUCCCUGCCCUUUGUACACACCGCCCGUCGCUCCUACCGAUUGAGCGAUCCGGUGAAGCCUCGGGAUUGUGGUUCUUGCCGCUUUAUUGUGGCGUGACCGCGAGAACUUGUCUAAACCUUAUCAUCUAGAGGAAGGUGAAGUCGUAACA
This 324-nucleotide ribosomal RNA is filed under the name uncultured eukaryote. Its description in RNAcentral is "partial 18S ribosomal RNA". It matches the Rfam family "Eukaryotic small subunit ribosomal RNA", at positions 1470 to 1796 of the family's 1831-position model. The record is from RNAcentral.